UAGAGAGUCGGAUCCAUUGUGGUGUGCAGUUGGAUUUGUUGGAUGAGCGCUGGCGCCGUGCUGCGCCAAGAUUUGGAUCCUGCACAUUUGUGCUGAUGGUAGGAUAAAUGGAUUUUUGUUGUCAUCUGUGGUUGGUUCUGUGCAAUGUUAGGUCGCUUUUUAUAUUGUUGCUACUAUCUAACGACGUGCUUUCUAAUUGCUUUUUUGGGAUGCAUUUCAGUGGUUCUUUGCUGCAGCAUCUGAGGAUACGCUGUUGUGUGGCUGAUUGAGCUCACGCUCUGGUCCAGUGAGGCCCAGCAGCUGGACAGAGAGUGAUGAGUAGAAACCAGAGGGAGGAGACCCCUGUGGACAGGUGAACCAGAUACUGGCUCAGGUCAGCACAAGAUUCCAGAUGAAUUCUUGCUGAAAAGACAGUGGCUAACAUCUGCGCACUGGCACUGAGCAGUGACAAGUCUGCUGCAGACCGGUAAAGUGUAUGGAAAACACAGAGGCACCUUGACACAAACACAGGGGGAAGAAAAUGCUUAGAUCAACCUUUCUGAGACGCACAGUCGUACAUAGUCAAACGCACAAUGUUCCUUGAAACAAGCACUGGUGUCUGCUUAGUAGGUGCUCAAUCAAUCGGCUAUUAAAAGGUUUAAUGGUUUGGUGAGUCCAGACUCUUGUAUGAAAUAUUCUUGAAACAUGGACUUGGAAAAACUUAAUGAGGUCAGAAAGCCUGCAGAAAGCAGGAAGGUUAUCACUUAAU
Xiphophorus couchianus (Monterrey platyfish) is the source of this 748-nucleotide long non-coding RNA. RefSeq lists it as uncharacterized. NCBI's taxonomy places the organism in Eukaryota, Metazoa, Chordata, Actinopteri, Cyprinodontiformes, Poeciliidae. The transcript is spliced from 3 exons. The record is from RefSeq and is a predicted model, not a curated record.